UGGCGGACGGGUGAGUAAUGUCUAGGGAAACUGCCCGAUGGGGGGGGAUAACUACUGGAAACGGUAGCUAAUACCGCAUAACGUCGCAAGACCAAAGAGGGGGACCUUCGGGCCUCUUGCCAUCGGAUGUGCCCAGAUGGGAUUAGCUAGUAGGUGGGGUAACGGCUCACCUAGGCGACGAUCCCUAGCUGGUCUGAGAGGAUGACCAGCCACACUGGAACUGAGACACGGUCCAG
RNAcentral lists this ribosomal RNA (236 nucleotides) under uncultured bacterium. RNAcentral describes it as "partial 16S ribosomal RNA". It matches the Rfam family "Bacterial small subunit ribosomal RNA", at positions 96 to 334 of the family's 1533-position model. The record is from RNAcentral.